UACGUAGGGGCAAGCGUUAUCCGGAUUUAUUGGGUUUAAAGGGUGCGCAGGUUGUUUGAUAAGUCAGUGGUGAAAGUCUGUCGCUUAACGGUAGGAUUGCCAUUGAUACUGUUGGACUUGAAUAUGGAUGAGGUAGGCGGAAUGUGUAGUGUAGCGGUGAAAUGCAUAGAUAUUACACAGAACACCGAUUGCGAAGGCAGCUUACUAAUCCAUCAUUGACGCUGAGGCACGAAAGCGUGGGGAUCAAACAGGAUUAGA
Molecule: ribosomal RNA, 258 nt
Filed under: uncultured prokaryote
Description: partial 16S ribosomal RNA
Rfam family: Bacterial small subunit ribosomal RNA
Source: RNAcentral